UUUGGGUGGUGGCAAGGCCCAAGAGGUUAAGAGAGUUAAGCGUGCUAGGAUGGGAGUAGUCCUAAGAUGGGUGACCCCCUGGGAAGCUGGGGCGUCACAGAUGGUAUCAGAGCCAAUUACCAGCCGGAAGUGUGAGAUGAGUCUCGGCUGAGCCAGGGUCUGGAUGACGGGCUAGCGAGAUGAGUCUCACAUCGCCUGGUACUUGUGAGUCUGAGCCUGACGAGGACGUCAGGGCUUAAAGGAGGGGAGAUUGUGAGACCACAGAUAGUCCUAUAUAUGAGAUAUAAUAUGGCUAAACUCUUAACCCGGCUUAAGCAUUUUGGGUGGUGGCAAGGCCCAAGAGGUUAAGAGAGUUAAGCGUGCUAGGAUGGGAGUAGUCCUAGGAUGGGUGACCCCCUGGGAAGCCGGGGCGUCACAAUUUAGCACUCGAGGUGGGUUGAUGUUUAAGCUACCGGAAUUACCGAAUUUCCUCCUAAGUUUGGUUGUUGUCGGCUUGUAUGUUGAUCAUUGUUUAUCAUGUUAAUUAGCUCAAAUUAAUGGAUUUGCAUGCUUAUAGAAAUCUGAAUUUGGAGCUUAAAUAUUAGCUAAAAUAUACAUGUUGGACUUGGUUUUGACUUAGGAGAAAACUAGCGAUUCUACACCGUCAUUUGUUAAAACUACUAGAUUUAGCUCUAGGAGCCGUAAUUUGUUUGUAUCGCCGCAGUUUAUGGGCGGUGGAUAUCCAGGAUAGUGUAGAAUGCAAUUACGCUCAUAUUAAGAUGCCGAGCUUAUUUUUACAGCAAUGUUUAGACUAUUUCGGACUGUCGGGUGCUGUCGGG
Molecule: long non-coding RNA, 818 nt
Filed under: Ananas comosus (pineapple)
Lineage: Eukaryota; Viridiplantae; Streptophyta; Magnoliopsida; Poales; Bromeliaceae
Description: long non-coding RNA (ACOM_LNC031226)
Source: RNAcentral